AUUGUACAGCAAGUGUAGAUUACAAGAUUGCUGAAGUAAAUCAUAUCUCUGGCUGUAAUUGCAGAAAUAUGCACAUUGUAGAAGACUGGAGUCUAGUUUAGAGGUAGCUAGUUCCAGAAUGGCAGAAUUGGAUCCUCCUCGAGAGAAUUCUGAUUCAAGAGGAAACAAAAUCUUAGCUUCUACACUAGAAACUGGUCCAUGGAGAGUCCCAGUAAAGAGGAUUCGAGACCCAAAUGGAGAAAUGGAUGGGUGUUUGUGACUGCAUUUUAACCAAAGAUGGACCUGGAACAAUUGCGGAGGCGUUGAUAAGGGGCUUUCCAAUCAUGAAGCAAUGGCUAGGCAGUUGUAUUGCAGGCUCUGGUGUUGUGUUGGUGCAGUCGGUGUGUCCAAGGGAUAGGAGGGUUUUACUAAAACAUAAGUGUUAUUAGA
Molecule: long non-coding RNA, 429 nt
Organism: Papaver somniferum (opium poppy)
Lineage: Eukaryota; Viridiplantae; Streptophyta; Magnoliopsida; Ranunculales; Papaveraceae
Exons: 3
Source: RefSeq, a predicted model, not a curated record